UAGGAAUCUUCCACAAUGGACGCAAGUCUGAUGGAGCAACGCCGCGUGAGUGAAGAAGGCUUUCGGGUCGUAAAACUCUGUUAUUGAAGAAGAACGUGUGUGACAGUAACUGGUCAUGCAGUGACGGUAUUCAAUCAGAAAGUCACGGCUAACUACGUGCCAGCAGCCGCGGUAAUACGUAGGUGGCAAGCGUUGUCCGGAUUUAUUGGGCGUAAAGCGAGUGCAGGCGGUCUUUUAAGUCUGAUGUGAAAGCCUUCGGCUUAACCGAAGAAGGGCAUCGGAAACUGGGAGACUUGAGUGCAGAAGAGGAGAGUGGAACUCCAUGUGUAGCGGUGAAAUGCGUAGAUAUAUGGAAGAACACCAGUGGCGAAGGCGGCUCUCUGGUCUGUAACUGACGCUGAGGCUCGAAAGCGUGGGUAGCAAACAGGAUUAGAUACCCU
This 440-nucleotide ribosomal RNA is filed under the name uncultured bacterium. RNAcentral describes it as "partial 16S ribosomal RNA". It matches the Rfam family "Bacterial small subunit ribosomal RNA", at positions 356 to 788 of the family's 1533-position model. The record is from RNAcentral.